Papio anubis (olive baboon) is the source of this 4486-nucleotide long non-coding RNA. The record is from Ensembl. NCBI's taxonomy places the organism in Eukaryota, Metazoa, Chordata, Mammalia, Primates, Cercopithecidae.
AUGAUAAAUGGAGCUUGUCAAACAUGGAGCAGAGCUGAACUUUCUGAAUUGCACAGGACUGUUCAGAGUGCUUGGAAUGAAACCCACCCACGAUUAAAACAAAAAAGAAGGAUGACUUGCUGCUGCAUUUGUGUGGAAAGUGCUAAGUUUGCUGCUAGGGAAGUAGGAGAGGAAAUAAGGAAAACAAUAAACCAAGUACAGCUUUGCAAAUACCCAGACACAUUGGAUGGACACAGAAGCUUUCACUGGGAUAUUGUGAAGGUUAAGUACUUCCUGUCUCCAUUACUUCCUAUGACCGUGACCUCACAUUACAAGCCACUGUGGUUGGAACUGCCGGCAAAAUGGAAAGAACCAGAAAGAACAUCAAAGGAGAGUUUUAAAAGGAUAUGAAAUGUAUUAAUUUGUCAUAAUUAUCUAUUUUUGAUAGAAGAAUCUCAGAGGUACUUAAAUUGAUGUCUUGGACCUUCAGUCCAGUGCUGACAUCUUGUAAAAUGUCUUAAGUUCCUACCAGGUAAUUUCUGCUUUCUGUCACAAUGCAGGGGAGAAGUUCUAGGAGGAAGUCAUGUAUUUUUCUCAUCUUUAGGUAUAUUAUAUGUAUACCCUGUAUUUCCCUAAUUAUACAUACACAUAUAUUUAUGUUACACCUUCUAUUUCUCUUAUUUACAUAUAUUAUUAACAAAAACUUUUUAGAAGAUUGUAGAAAUAAGACGAUGUAGGCAUUUGAAAUUUUAUGAGAAAGAGCAUGUCAGAUUUGGGAGUUUGGGAUUUUUAGAAAUUGCCAUAAGAAGUAAGUAAAUGCUGUCACCUUGCCUAUGCUAAUAAAAAUAUAUUAUACAUUUGAAGUUUUCUAAGAGAGUAGAUUCUCACUAUACACACACACGCACACGCACACACAAUAUAACUAUGUUAGGUGAUUAACAUGUUAAUUAGCUUGAUUAGGGUAAUCAUUUCACAGCAUAGACAUAUAUCAAAACAUCACAUUGUAUGCUUUGAAUAUAUACCAUUUUUAUUUGUCCACCAUACCCCAAUAAAGUUGGAAAAAACAAGACUUCAUUCCAACUGUCAAAAUCUACUUGUCAGGGACCUGCUCCAAGGGAGUCGCCAUUCCUUCAUAUUGUUAUUAAAUUGCUUCUUCAUAGAAAACCUAUCUUUGGUGAAAAAAUUAGACUCCAGAAGUGAUAUUUUGCCAGAAACAUCUCUAAAAGCCUUUGUAUCUCCCUGAUGAACUCAAUGUAGCUAUGGAAAUUCCAAUUUCCUAUCUGGGGUCAGCUUCAGAAAUGUGCUUAUUUAUGUGCUUCGAAUUGACUUACCAACUAAUGAACCAAGAAACAAUUUUUCUUUUGGCUGUGUUUCAAAAGGAUCUUGCUCAAAUUUUAAAGGUUAGGGCAUUUUAGAGUCAGAUUUGUUUCACAAUUUUUCUAUGUAACAUAUUCUCUUCCCAUUAAAAUGUAAUUUUCUCUACCAAUAAGGUGUUAGGCUUUUGAUCCCUCAGAGAAACUGUACUUGACAUGAGCAUUACCUCAUCCAAAUGUAUGUCCCCAGUGAACCUGUCAUCGAGUGGACUUGAUGCCUUAAUUUUUUCCUUUUGUAGCAAGAUGCCUAACUGGUUACUUAUGCAAGCAUUGUUAGUGAAAUUAGGGGGAGUAAGGGGAAUAAAAAAUGUAUGGCAAUUAUGAGUGUUAGAACUGAGCACAAUCAUUAUUGCAGCAUCUGAUGCAGACAUUUCAGGGUAAGCCAAGUAGUCUCUUCAGAAUAAAAAUGAGGAUAAUUAGACUCAAUUCAUUUAUUCAACACUUGGGUCAAGUCCAUGAACUCUACAAAGAUAACUGUGCCAUGGAUUUUGCUCUCUAGAGUGCUAAGACAUGUAUAUGGUUUGUCUACUCAUUCAACAAACAUUUUCUGAGCAUGUUUUGUCUCCUGAGGUCAGCUCUGGAGAGACAAUGGUACAUGGCACAAAUCUUUGCAAGUGCUGAAUAUAAUACCUGAUAUUAAUAUGCUGUGAGUGAAGAGUACAAAAUGUGUAGUGGGUGUUCAUGGGAUACAAUAGCUCUGUGCAUGUAGAAGGGAUUAGUAAGGGCCUCAUGAAGGAGGCAGAAUUUGCUUUGGACCUGAAGGAAAGACAGGAUUGGAAAGGUAGAGAUGCUAAAGAAAGUUGUCCUCAAUAGAGAAAAUACCAUAGCUGAAGGCCCCUCAUAUGCUAUUCUUAUCUAAUUAUGUGAUUCUAAGCUCAGGUGAUCCAAAGAAGUUCCUCAGAGUUGUGGCAAACUGAAGCCAGUGGCGUAGGUUGAAAGAAAUCUGAGAGAAGAUUAACACCCAGGAGAAUCUAAGGUGCCAUUGUGGGUGAAUCAUUUUAGGCCGUUUUUCAGAACAAAAUUUCCACACACUCUAUACCAAAUACUCAUGGACUUAUACUUUUGGUUCAUAAGUUUGAUGAAAAACUCUGGAAGCCUAUUGCAGAGAACUGAAUAAGGUAAAAAAAUCUACCUUUUACUGGACACAUCAUUUAGGGAGCAAAUUAGUCUCCAUUAUCAGAAAGUUCUGAGAUUCUCCUCGGAAUCUAAAAUGUGAUACUUUGCUCAGCAGCUGACAGUAUUUUUGCUACAUUUUCAACUUGCCUUCACUUCUGUUUAUUUCACAUGUCUAAUUUACUAUCUAGGUAAUUUAAACAAUGAGAAUACAGUGACCCACAAUUUUCCUAAUUUAAAGGUAGCCCUUGUGCAAUAUUAAAUUUGCAUCUACAUUGCCUGCCUAACAAGACUGUCACCUCCUUGAGGUCAAUGUGAUGUUAUCUAUUUUUUUAGAUAGCAUCUAUGUAUCUAGGAGAUCUAUCUGUGCAAUAGAACCAUACAGUCCUUCAUAGAUAGGGGGAGCACAAAUGUUGGUUGAUAUUUAACCGAAGUAUCAGACCUACAGCUUUCUCUCUAAGAACUCAAACUUCAGAGAAAAUAGAUUCAGAGAGUAAAUGUUUUCCCAUGGCUCAGGCAAGAGGGGUGGUUUGUAUGUUAUUUCUUUCUUAUUUCCCAGUUAGACUUUUGGAAAUCUGCCAGAUGUAAUUGAAAAACCCUGCUCAGCUUUGUCCAGUGUCUCAUUUGAGGAUCGGCAUGAGUUUGUUUACUUGAGAUUAAUAGGAGUCAAGGAUAUACAAAUUCAGCAAUGUAUGGGUAACUUUCCCCUUUUUAACGUUGGCCUCCACAGAAAACUACCACCAUAUUGUUGAAUUUUGGAAGUUUAUUAUGCUUUAUUUUUUCCUAUUAAAAAGAAAUAUAAAUGUCAUCACACUGUAAUAGUUUUAUAACCUGUUUUAUCAUAUUUUAAAAUAUAUCUUGAAUAUUCUUUCAUAUAAUUAAAUAAUCUUCUACAGCAUAAUUUUAGUAUCUAUGAAGUUUCCAUUAUGUGCUUAUAUUAUACAUUUUUACUCUGAAUACAUUAUUGUUGUAAAGAAUGCUUGCAAUUUAUGACAAUAAAUAUAUAUGGCUAAUUCACACAUUAUUCUAAAUCUCAUUGUACUCUCCAGUUAGUCAUCAUUAGUGUCUUGAAGUUCACUGGUUUGGCAUUUUAUGUAUAUUUUUAUCUGUAUGCAUUAAGAAAGUUUAUUUAUUAUUAUUAUUAUUAUUAUUUUUGGAGACACAGUCUUUCUCUGUCCCCCAGGCUGGAGUGCAGUGGCGUGAUCUUGGCUCACUGCAAUCUCUGCCUCCUGGGUUCAAGUAAUACUCCUGCCUCAGCCUCCUGAGUAGCUGGGAUUACAGGCAUACACCACCACGCCUGACUAAUUUUUUGUAUCUUUAGUAGAGAGGGGAUUUCACCAUGUUGGUCAAGUUGAUCUUCAACUCCUGGCCUCAUGAUCCACCUACCUUGGCCUCCAAAAGUGCUGGGAUUACAGGCGUGAGCCACCACACCCGGCCAACAAAGUUUUUUUUUUUUUAAAUUAUUUUAAAACAUUAGAAUUUGUUGGAGAUAAUUAGAUAGGUAUAUUUCUAAAUAUAUAUAUAUAUAUAUGUAUAUAGUAUGAAACAAUAAUCCCAUUAAAUCCUAUACAAAUAAUGAUCCUGCUUAUGAAACCUAUAGACCCAACCAGCUAGCUUCAGAAAUAGAACAUUACUGGUAACUUAAAAACCAGUUUCUAGUCCUCCCCCACUGCCUUCUUCUCUCUAGACCCCAAUGAUUACCACUAUCUGAAAUUUUCUGUAUGUUAUCUUUAAGCUUUGCUUUAUAAUUUUAAAACAUACACUUACAGUCCUGAGAAAGUAUUUUUAAAUUUUAUAUGGUUUCAUUACUAUAGAGGUGGAGACUUUUUUUUAUUAAAUAAUACUUUAAGUUCUAGGGUACGUGUGCACAACGUGCAGGUUUGUUACAUAUGUAUACAUGUGCCAUGUUGGUGUGCUGCACCCAUUAAGUCGUCAUUUACAUUAGGUAUAUCUCCUAAUGCUAUCCCUCCCCCCUACCCCCUCCCCACAAUAGGACCCAGUGUGUGAUGCUUCCCUUCCAG